RNAcentral lists this long non-coding RNA (222 nucleotides) under Gossypium barbadense (sea-island cotton). RNAcentral's name for it is "long non-coding RNA (GBAR_LNC000384)". The record is from RNAcentral. Lineage: Eukaryota; Viridiplantae; Streptophyta; Magnoliopsida; Malvales; Malvaceae.
AGUAGCUGACUACCCCUUGGUGGCUGAACACCACCUCGACCCAUGCUUGGCACCUAAACUGGGAUUCUAGGGCAGUUCUUAAUUCUAUGCUCCAUAGUUCCACAAGCUAGACAAGUUCCUGUCCUCUUCCAACACACGCCUACAUGACCUUUCCUACAAUCAGCACAAGGUGGCACCCUUGGAUUAACAGCAGGGGGCCCUGCUCUGACUGGCCCAUUAACU